AGCAGCUUGCUGCUUCGCUGACGAGUGGCGGACGGGUGAGUAAUGUCUGGGAAACUGCCUGAUGGAGGGGGAUAACUACUGGAAACGGUGGCUAAUACCGCAUAACGUCGCAAGACCAAAGAGGGGGACCUUCGGGCCUCUUGCCAUCAGAUGUGCCCAGAUGGGAUUAGCUUGUUGGUGAGGUAACGGCUCACCAAGGCGACGAUCCCUAGCUGGUCUGAGAGGAUGACCAGCCACACUGGAACUGAGACACGGUCCAGACUCCUACGGGAGGCAGCAGUGGGGAAUAUUGCACAAUGGGCGCAAGCCUGAUGCAGCCAUGCCGCGUGUAUGAAGAAGGCCUUCGGGUUGUAAAGUACUUUCAGCGGGGAGGAAGGUGUUGUGGUUAAUAACCGCAGCAAUUGACGUUACCCGCAGAAGAAGCACCGGCUAACUCCGUGCCAGCAGCCGCGGUAAUACGGAGGGUGCAAGCGUUAAUCGGAAUUACUGGGCGUAAAGCGCACGCAGGCGGUCUGUCAAGUCGGAUGUGAAAUCCCCGGGCUCAACCUGGGAACUGCAUUCGAAACUGGCAGGCUUGAGUCUUGUAGAGGGGGGUAGAAUUCCAGGUGUAGCGGUGAAGUGCGUAGAGAUCUGGAGGAAUACCGGUGGCGAAGGCGGCCCCCUGGACAAAGACUGACGCUCAGGUGCGAAAGCGUGGGGAAGCAACAGGAUUAGAUACCCUGGUAGUCCACGC
RNAcentral lists this ribosomal RNA (733 nucleotides) under uncultured bacterium. Its description in RNAcentral is "bacterial SSU rRNA". It matches the Rfam family "Bacterial small subunit ribosomal RNA", at positions 74 to 800 of the family's 1533-position model. The record is from RNAcentral.